GCCUGUAAGGAGUGAUGGGGGCGGUGAGGACCUGUGAGGGUUAAUGGCGGGCGCUGUGAGAGGUUGCUGUGAGGGAUAGUGGGAGCUUUGAAGGAUCAGGCUGUGAGAGGUGACAGUGAAGGACGUGAUGGAUCAGGGGGUAUGCAGGGUAAUGAUGAGCGGCUGUGAGAGGUGAUGGGGACUGUGAGGGCUGGUGGGUGGUGGUGAGGGGCAGUGUGGGCAGACAGGGCGGUAGGAGCAGUGUUGUGAUAAGGGUAUAGAAUUUGGCAGAAAGAAACACCCUUGUUCAGCUGGUCUUUGGAGAUCAGAGGGGCUGGGGGUGGCCGGGCUUAUCUCUGAUUAUAACAGUUUGCACUGUAAGUGGUUGUGUUCGAUAGGAACUUCCGCAAGCACAGGUUCUCAAACUGCGAAUCUGGUAAUAUUCUAUUAGAAUUUUCACCAUCACAAAUUCACGAAUAGUGUGGUUUACUGAAGCAGCAGAAAUACAAGGGAGAAUGGCUUCAAACUGAAAGACAGACCUGCUCCUCCGGCCAGCUGAGCCUUUCCUGAUAUCAGCUGUGCAGAUCUCCAUCCACGGAGAUAACUCAGAGGAUACACAGCAUAGGCUGCAGUUAUUCAGCCCUAGCCCUUGCCUGGCUCCUUGGUCAUCAUCCCACAGACAACAGUGAGGGGUGAGGAGGCCUUGGGCUGUGUUUCUGCCAUGUGGGCUGGGAAAAGCUCAGGGCAAAUACUGGAUACAACUAUUGCUUUAGGAAAGCUUUAAAAUUUGACUACUUUUGUGCUCAGUAACAAUGUGACUGCUUUUUUGCAAAGCCUACAAUGUCCGGGACAGAAAUUGGUUCAUUUUAAAGAUGGAGGAUUUCCAUAGUGUUUAUUUGACUUGGCUUGGCAGCAGUGUUCUGUUUACGACUGGAUAAAUAACUGCCACAUUAAAGAUUAUUAACUAGCAAUGCUUCAGUGACCAAUAAAGUCCUAAUCUUUUAUAUGGUGUUGUAAAUGUA
This is a long non-coding RNA of Chiroxiphia lanceolata (lance-tailed manakin), 1001 nucleotides long. RefSeq lists it as uncharacterized. Lineage: Eukaryota; Metazoa; Chordata; Aves; Passeriformes; Pipridae. The transcript is spliced from 2 exons. The record is from RefSeq and is a predicted model, not a curated record.